AGAGUUUGAUCCUGGCUCAGGAUGAACGCUGGCGGCGUGCUUAACACAUGCAAGUCGAACGGGAAACCUUUUAUUGAAGCUUCGGCAGAUUUAGAUUGUUUCUAGUGGCGGACGGGUGAGUAACGCGUGGGUAACCUGCCUUAUACAGGGGGAUAACAGUCAGAAAUGACUGCUAAUACCGCAUAAGCGCACAGAGCUGCAUGGCUCGGUGUGAAAAACUCCGGUGGUAUAAGAUGGACCCGCGUUGGAUUAGCUAGUUGGUGAGGUAACGGCCCACCAAGGCGACGAUCCAUAGCCGGCCUGAGAGGGUGAACGGCCACAUUGGGACUGAGACACGGCCCAGACCCCUACGGGAGGCAGCAGUGGGGAAUAUUGCACAAUGGGGGGAACCCUGAUGCAGCGACGCCGCGUGAAGGAAGAAGUAUCUCGGUAUGUAAACUUCUAUCAGCAGGGAAGAAAAUGACGGUACCUGACUAAGAAGCCCCGGCUAACUACGUGCCAGCAGCCGCGGUAAUACGUGGGGGGCAAGCGUUAUCCGGAUUUACUGGGUGUAAAGGGAGCGUAGACGGAUGGACAAGUCUGAUGUGAAAGGCUGGGGCUCAACCCCGGGACUGCAUUGGAAACUGCCCGUCUUGAGUGCCGGAGAGGUAAGCGGAAUUCCUAGUGUAGCGGUGAAAUGCGUAGAUAUUAGGAGGAACACCAGUGGCGAAGGCGGCUUACUGGACGGUAACUGACGUUGAGGCUCGAAAGCGUGGGGAGCAAACAGGAUUAGAUACCCUGGUAGUCCACGCGGUAAACGAUGAAUGCUAGGUGUCGGGGAGCAAAGCUCUUCGGUGCCGCCGCAAACGCAUUAAGCAUUCCACCUGGGGAGUACGUUCGCAAGAAUGAAACUCAAAGGAAUUGACGGGGACCCGCACAAGCAGCGGAGCAUGUGGCUUAAUUCGAAGCAACGCGAAGAACCUUACCAGGGCUUGACAUAUGGGUGAAGCGGGGGAGACCCCGUGGCCGAGAGGAGCCCAUACAGGUGGUGCAUGGCUGUCGUCAGCUCGUGUCGUGAGAUGUUGGGUUAAGUCCCGCAACGAGCGCAACCCCCGCCGCGUGUUGCCAUCGGGUGAUGCCGGGAACCCACGCGGGACCGCCGCCGUCAAGGCGGAGGAGGGCGGGGACGACGUCAAGUCAUCAUGCCCCUUAUGCCCUGGGCUGCACACGUGCUACAAUGGCCGGUACAGAGGGAUGCCACCCCGCGAGGGGGAGCGGAUCCCGGAAAGCCGGCCCCAGUUCGGAUUGGGGGCUGCAACCCGCCCCCAUGAAGUCGGAGUUGCUAGUAAUCGCGGAUCAGCAUGCCGCGGUGAAUGCGUUCCCGGGCCUUGUACUCACCGCCCGUCA
RNAcentral lists this ribosomal RNA (1386 nucleotides) under uncultured bacterium. RNAcentral's name for it is "bacterial SSU rRNA". It matches the Rfam family "Bacterial small subunit ribosomal RNA". The record is from RNAcentral.